Molecule: ribosomal RNA, 603 nt
Filed under: uncultured bacterium
Lineage: Bacteria
Description: bacterial SSU rRNA
Rfam family: Bacterial small subunit ribosomal RNA (bases 1-520)
Source: RNAcentral
CCUACGGGAGGCAGCAGUGGGGAAUUUUCCGCAAUGGGCGAAAGCCUGACGGAGCAACGCCGCGUGGGGGAUGAAGGCCUCUGGGCUGUAAACCCCUUUUCUCAAGGAAGAAGACCUGACGGUACUUGAGGAAUAAGCCACGGCUAAUUCCGUGCCAGCAGCCGCGGUAAUACGGGAGUGGCAAGCGUUAUCCGGAAUUAUUGGGCGUAAAGCGUCCGCAGGCGGCCUAUUAAGUCUGUCGUUAAAGCGUGGAGCUCAACCCCAUUUAAGCGAUGGAAACUGGAAGGCUAGAGUGUGGUAGGGGCAGAGGGAAUUCCCGGUGUAGCGGUGAAAUGCGUAGAUAUCGGGAAGAACACCAGUGGCGAAGGCGCUCUGCUGGGCCAUAACUGACGCUCAUGGACGAAAGCCAGGGGAGCGAAAGGGAUUAGAUACCCCUGUAGUCCUGGCCGUAAACGAUGAACACUAGGUGUCGGGGAAUCGACCCCGUCGGUGUCGUAGCUAACGCGUUAAGUGUUCCGCCGUGGGUAGGUACGCGACGCAGUAGUGAACGUACAAGAAGUAGUACGGCGUGAGACGCGCCGACGACGACGACGAGGGAGGAGG